UCCGUAUUCGUUGCCUGGUUUUCAUUUGGGUAUUAGUUUCGACCCUCCCACACUAAAGAGUUCCGAUGUUUGCGAAAUUCGUCUGUCGACAUCUCCGGCUAAAAUAAUCGUUCUACAAUGAAAUACAAAUGAAUAUGACAUGUAACUAUGAAGAUUCAAGUCUCCGCCCUGUAACCCCAAACAUCCAGACUUCGCCACAUCAACAGGAACACUUUGUCAGACUCAGGAAAUCAACGAUACCCUUACAAAAUUCCACUGGAAAGUGGCUCCCCCUAGUGGUCCUGAUGGUAUCACAAAGCCUCUUCGGGAACUGGAAGCAUCAACAUUCUUCGCCUCAACAAGGGGAAUAACUCUGGACAGCAUCUACUUCAACAGAGGUCCCAGUGACCCUGUCCAUCCUAACAUGGUACGGGUUACCAUAACGAUUCCAUACCACGACGGACUACGUACCUCCUGUGCUGUCCACUCGUCAGCUCUCAAAC
Long non-coding RNA from Mizuhopecten yessoensis (Yesso scallop), 482 nucleotides. RefSeq lists it as uncharacterized. The record is from RefSeq and is a predicted model, not a curated record. The transcript is spliced from 3 exons. Lineage: Eukaryota; Metazoa; Mollusca; Bivalvia; Pectinida; Pectinidae.